Molecule: long non-coding RNA, 423 nt
Filed under: Rattus norvegicus (Norway rat)
Lineage: Eukaryota; Metazoa; Chordata; Mammalia; Rodentia; Muridae
Description: long non-coding RNA NONRATT014567
Source: RNAcentral
CGUAACACACCACAGGAAGCAGCUCUCCUCCCAGCCCCCUGCCCCCGUAAGGGAUGGUGGAGGCUUGUCCAGAGGGUCUUGAGAAGCCCCCUGGGAGGGAGGGGAACGCGAGCACGCCAGCGCCCCUGCAGGGUGACUGGGCCCCUCUGGCUUGUCUUUCUGUGCCUUAGUCCUCCUUCCCUGCAUCUCCCCUCCCAGACCCGUUCUCAAGGCCUUGCGCCUCUCUCCGGUAUGAAAACACAAAGCACAGGUCAGGAUCCUCCGAAAGUCAGUCCAACAUUGCACCACGUGGGGUGGGUUGUGGGCUUUAUUUAUUGAGAAUCUAGUUGGUGAGGCUGCGGCCCUGAGCAGGCGAAUGGCCGCUAGCAGGGAGCUCGGGGCUGCGAGGCGGCUGUCCGGGCUCUCUGUGUGGAAGUUGAGCGA